This 70-nucleotide small RNA is filed under the name Pseudomonas neustonica. Its description in RNAcentral is "Pseudomonas sRNA P10". It matches the Rfam family "Pseudomonas sRNA P10". The record is from RNAcentral. Lineage: Bacteria; Pseudomonadati; Pseudomonadota; Gammaproteobacteria; Pseudomonadales; Pseudomonadaceae.
UGGGCGAUCCAACUGCCUGCCCCAAAACGGGCCAUGGUACCAACCCCAUCGCCAGCGGAUCGCCAGACGU